Molecule: long non-coding RNA, 669 nt
Filed under: Canis lupus familiaris (dog)
Lineage: Eukaryota; Metazoa; Chordata; Mammalia; Carnivora; Canidae
Description: lncRNA (ENSCAFG00040013214.1)
Source: RNAcentral
UGCCAAGCUCCCCGAGCCCCGGCUCUGCGCUCCUGCCGCGGGGACGCGAGGCUGUGCCGGGGCAGGAUCGGUGGCCCCAGAUCAAAUGCCACCCUGCUCGGAGGGAAGCCUACAGGCCGGCGACCCCCUAGGGACAGCAAGUCCUGGGACCAGGCCGGCCAGCCUCGCUGGAGUCGACCUUCCUGUGCAACGUCACACCUCUUGAGGACAGCCAGGAGGACUCCAGCUUUUGCUGAGCUUCACAUCUUGCCUCCUUCCUUCCAUCUUACUCCAGACCCAAGUGUGGCGGUCCUCAAGGCCCUUGUGCCCCUGGCCAGGCGCUCCACUGCCCUUCCAGGCCAGCCCAGUUCUGGAGCUCACCUCCAGGACCUGGAGCCUGCCCUCCUGCCCAGAAUGACUCACCAUUAUUUCUCGCUCAAGUGAGAAGACGUGAUGGGCAGUCGGGCUGCCUAUUUGUGUAUCUAGGAUUCCCACAGUAUCUGAUCAGCCCUUCGAGGAAGAGAGCUUCAGGUUCCUGCCUUGCCAGCCAAGCCGGGCUAUCUCUCUGGCCCUCAGAGAGCCAUCAGGGCUCUCCUGCAGGAACCCAGGCCAAUGCUCCUGUGUUUCCUGGGGCCGUAAGCAGCACCCUGAGCUCCCUGCCACCAGGCAGCUGGAAGGCAUAGCGUGAGA